CAACCCGCUCGCCGUGGCCGAUGCCCCCGGGCCUCGCCCGCCCCGCCCCGUCCGUCUGUGAACCCUAGCCCCGCGCUCGCACACUCCCUGUCGCGCCGCCGCCUCCGCCUUUGCUCACCGUCGGGCCGUCGGGCCGUUUCCUCUUUCCCUGAGGGCGGGGAGCCGGAGCUGCCCCCGCGCGUCGUCGAUCAUCUCCUCGCUGGCUGGACACCGUCGACCACGAAGCCGGUCUUCUCUAAGCGCGCGCCGCCGUAUGAGUCGCCGAGAUGCCGAGGCCAAGGCGGAGCUCCAGGCCAUCGAGGCCGCGUACGCCGCUGAGUCCGCCAGGCGUCGCCACCUCCCCGACUGUUCCAAGAUGCCAGCCCCCCGCCCCCGUCCGCCCACGGCCCAACCCAGUCCCCGCGGCCGCGUGUGCCUCCUCGCCGUCGUGGGUGCUCUCUCCCCACUUGCCAAGUGUGAGUACCAGCUACCCACCCAUGUUCUUCUCUGUAAUCAAGUGUUCGCGGGGAAGCUCAGUUAUGGUCAAUUCAUCUCAAAAUAAUGCAAACCCUUGCAGACUGCUCAGGAAGCAGCUGAGUACACUGGCGGCAUCGGUUGUAAAUAGCCGGACUAAAGGAUCUAUGCACAUAUCUGCACCCGCAAGUUUUAUUGCUGGAGUGUGGAAUGGUUUGAGCACGGCAAUCAAGUGGCAGAAUUAUUGUUGAAACAUGCCACCGUGUGAAGAUGAAUAGGAACCUUUCAUAAUUAUUCCCAAACAUGCCACCGUGUUAUCAUUGGCCAGUGCAGUUGUGUUACUUGAAGAAUAAUGGCAAGGGAGGUGGGGCGAUAUGCAUGUCCAUGGAGCUGUGUUACUUGGUCUUCGCGUCGCCCCUGGCCCUGACCUAGGGUUUGGUUUGAUGCAGCGGCGGAGGGCAGCAAGUGGAGAAAGAUGAAGGUUGCACAACACCAAGGGUGUGAAUGGGGACAACAAGUAGGCGGCGUGUAUACUACACCAAGGACGAUACAGGGCAUGAAGCAAGCAAGCGAGCAGGUGUACACAACGACCUGCUACUGCACUAAUAGCCUUGACAGAGCACCGGGGCCGGCUUGACAAGGCAUUUGGGCGCCGGCAGACCCUGGAUGUGCGCGAUGGAGAUGAACCCCGCGUCGUUGCCUCUGCAGCCUGGAUAGAGCUAUGUCAGUGCUGGUGAUGAACCCCACGUCUGUGCUGGUGAUGGCGCUAUCCAUCUACUUUCUCCACUGGCUGUCAGACAGUAGAGAUCACAUUGUGGAUUUAUGUUUUCUUCAGAGUGUUCUCCCGUCAUUGUUGGAUGUCGAAUUUGCAAGGCAAUCCGUCUCUAUGUCGAUGUCUUAACCACUUCGUACUUCCGCACAAUUAGCAGAAUAGAGCAGUUGCCACAAUUUACCCAUUGAUUUCUUGGACUGAUUCAGACCUAGGAAAGGCUGCUACUUGUGCAAGCAACAUGUUGUGCUAAUACUUUGUGUGCACUUCAGCGGGAAUGAAAUUUUCUUGCUACCAUGUGUCAUGGUAGUAGGUUGCUGCGGCAAAAAACUGGUAAGCCCCCUAAGAGAGGAAAAGUGAAAAAAGUCCCAUCCUGCUUACCAUGUUUUAUCUUAAAAAAUUGGCUUCUAUUUUGUUUCUAACCUAUAUCUCUGCAUGGUUUCUUUCUCCAAACAUGCUUUUGCUGCAACCCUGGUCAACUGGCUUGAACAGAGCUCACAUGAGUCACCGCCAAAUGACCCUUUUUUGAAAUUCAUUCUCUUAUGCACUGAGAAAGGAGUUACUCCAUGUCAGUAUGUACAUACAGAUGCAAGCAAUAGAUAAACUGAUGUAGAUGAUGAUUGAAGAAAUUUUCAGGAAUUUUCCAAUCUGAAUUGGCUACAGAGUUGGGGAAAAGAGAAGUCUAGGCUCUGAUGAACACAUCUUCUUUCCUAGCUGACUAACAGUUGGCACCUCUAUAUUUACAUUACAUCAGGCUAGCGCUACAAAGCCCAUGUAUGCCUUUGUCCGCCUACCUGCCUCAAUGGACGUUCUGAUCACAAAAAAGUAGAUAAAAAUACACAUCAGUUUGUCAGAAUACAUGUUGGUUAUCUUACGAACGAGUAUAGCUAUCACAAGAAUACAGCAAAUAUGUAUCAAUUUUUCAAUGAAGCAAACUUAUAUUAUGAUUAUCACAUUUUGAUCUUGGAGUAAUGGUCGACUUUAGUUGAUGGUUACUGCAGCCUGCACUAGUCCAAUAUUUCUAAUUACAAGUUUUAGCUCCAUCGGGAUAAUCUGAUUAGUGUAUCACAAGCUUGAUGUUUUUAAUCGUGCAAUUUUGUAGUUAUUUUAGUGUUAUGUAGAACACAUAGACUUUUCACAACAGAAAGAAAUCGAUGUAUAACCUGAUUUUGCUUUAUUGUUUAGUACCAGUUGACUUUGUAAAUCCCAGUUUCUCCAGUGUUGUAACUCUGUCAGAUCAUCAAAUUAAACUAAUCUUUUUCUUUGGACAGCUUGUAAUUUGUAAUAUUAUGAUUUUCCUUUUCAGAAACCACUUCAACUAGCCUAGGACCAUCUCUGGUCUGACAUGCGAGGCGCCUACCGAGUGCCUCCCCAGCUUAACGGUCCCAAACCCAAGCGAUUAGAUACGAAGUCUACUCAGCAGGAGGAGCAUGAACAGUUGUGAAGGAGAACCCCACUGCCUUGGACCAGGUUGCUGAACCAGAAGCAGAAGGUGCGAGGGGCACUGUUCAAUAUCUUUAGGAAUGAAGCCAUGAGGAUGCUACCUAUUCUUUCCUUUCAAGUAUCCGGCACUACGAGCUGCAUUAGCUUCACCUCAGGAUGUUGAAAGAGGAAGUAGGAGUUUUCAGAAAUGA
Molecule: long non-coding RNA, 2856 nt
Organism: Triticum dicoccoides
Lineage: Eukaryota; Viridiplantae; Streptophyta; Magnoliopsida; Poales; Poaceae
Exons: 10
Source: RefSeq, a predicted model, not a curated record